This 379-nucleotide ribosomal RNA is filed under the name uncultured bacterium. RNAcentral's name for it is "bacterial SSU rRNA". It matches the Rfam family "Bacterial small subunit ribosomal RNA", at positions 422 to 793 of the family's 1533-position model. The record is from RNAcentral.
CUCGUAAAGCUCUGUUGUUAAAGAAGAACACGUAUGAGAGUAACUGUUCAUACGUUGACGGUAUUUAACCAGAAAGUCACGGCUAACUACGUGCCAGCAGCCGCGGUAAUACGUAGGUGGCAAGCGUUAUCCGGAUUUAUUGGGCGUAAAGAGAGUGCAGGCGGUUUUCUAAGUCUGAUGUGAAAGCCUUCGGCUUAACCGGAGAAGUGCAUCGGAAACUGGAUAACUUGAGUGCAGAAGAGGGUAGUGGAACUCCAUGUGUAGCGGUGGAAUGCGUAGAUAUAUGGAAGAACACCAGUGGCGAAGGCGGCUACCUGGUCUGCAACUGACGCUGAGACUCGAAAGCAUGGGUAGCGAACAGGAUUAGAUACCCUGGUAG